UACGAACGCUGGCGGCACGCCUAACACAUGCAAGUCGAACGAGAUCUUCGGGUCUAGUGGCGCACGGGUGCGUAACGCGUGGGAAUCUGCCCUUUGGUUCGGAAUAACAGUUGGAAACGACUGCUAAUACCGGAUGAUGACGAAAGUCCAAAGAUUUAUCGCCAGAGGAUGAGCCCGCGUAGGAUUAGCUAGUUGCUGUGGUAAAGGCGCACCAAGGCGACGAUCCUUAGCUGGUCUGAGUGGAUGAUCAGCCACACUGGGACUGAGACACGGCCCAGACUCCUGCGGGAGGCAGCAGUGGGGAAUAUUGGACAAUGGGCGAAAGCCUGAUCCAGCAAUGCCGCGUGAGUGAUGAAGGCCUUAGGGUUGUAAAGCUCUUUUACCCGGGAUGAUAAUGACAGUACCGGGAGAAUAAGCUCCGGCUAACUCCGUGCCAGCCGCCGCGGUAA
RNAcentral lists this ribosomal RNA (449 nucleotides) under uncultured bacterium. RNAcentral describes it as "partial 16S ribosomal RNA". It matches the Rfam family "Bacterial small subunit ribosomal RNA", at positions 29 to 523 of the family's 1533-position model. The record is from RNAcentral.